UCCGAGAUAGUAUAGUGGCAAGUAUUUCCGCCUGUCACGCGGAAGACCCGGGUUCAAUUCCCGGUCUCGGAG
Molecule: transfer RNA, 72 nt
Organism: Plasmodium falciparum NF54
Lineage: Eukaryota; Apicomplexa; Aconoidasida; Haemosporida; Plasmodiidae
Rfam family: tRNA
About the family: Transfer RNA (tRNA) molecules are approximately 80 nucleotides in length.
Source: Rfam